This 120-nucleotide ribosomal RNA is filed under the name Myripristis murdjan (pinecone soldierfish). The record is from RNAcentral. Lineage: Eukaryota; Metazoa; Chordata; Actinopteri; Holocentriformes; Holocentridae.
GCUUACGGCCACACCACCCUGAGCACGCCCGAUCUCGUCCGAUCUCGGAAGCUAAGCAGGGUAGGGCCUGGUUAGUACUUGGAUGGGAGGACCGCCUGGGAAUACCAGGUGCUGUAAGCU